GUUUAAUACCUUUAGUUUCCAUUUUGUUGAAUAGGUCGAAUGCAUCAUCCAUAUGUUUGUAUUUGCAAAGACCAUCAAUGAUUGUGUUGUAGAUCACAACAUCAGCCUCUAUUUUCCCUUUCUCCAUCUUGUUGAGCAGAUUUAAAGCCAAAUCAGGUUCACCUCUCUUACAUAAUCCAUUAAUUACCGCACCAUAAGUAACCAGAUCUGGUUGACAACCUUUCACAACCAUCCGUUCAACUAAAGCCACAGCUUCGGAAGCUUUGUUGUGUUGAAAAAGCCCAUGAACCAAAGUUGUAAAUGUGACGGUAUCGGGUUGAUAUCCCAUUUCCACCAUCUGAUCAACCAAAGCAACAGCCUCGGAUAUCCUAUUCCCGUGACAGAAACCAUUGA
RNAcentral lists this small RNA (393 nucleotides) under Arabidopsis thaliana (thale cress). Its description in RNAcentral is "ATSL062990". Lineage: Eukaryota; Viridiplantae; Streptophyta; Magnoliopsida; Brassicales; Brassicaceae. The record is from RNAcentral.